GCCCAGAUGGUGGAAUUGGCAGACACGCUAGUUUCAGGUACUAGUGCCGAGAGGCAUGGGGGUUCAAGUCCCCCUCUGGGCA
RNAcentral lists this transfer RNA (82 nucleotides) under Spirochaetaceae bacterium. Its description in RNAcentral is "tRNA-Leu". It matches the Rfam family "tRNA". From Rfam's summary of the family: Transfer RNA (tRNA) molecules are approximately 80 nucleotides in length. Lineage: Bacteria; Pseudomonadati; Spirochaetota; Spirochaetia; Spirochaetales; Spirochaetaceae. RNAcentral also lists the same sequence under 3 other names. The record is from RNAcentral.